RNAcentral lists this ribosomal RNA (433 nucleotides) under uncultured bacterium. Its description in RNAcentral is "partial 16S ribosomal RNA". It matches the Rfam family "Bacterial small subunit ribosomal RNA", at positions 36 to 507 of the family's 1533-position model. The record is from RNAcentral.
CCCUCCCUCUUUCUUCAUGCCUAAUACAUGCAAGUCGAACGAGAUCUUCGGAUCUAGUGGCGCACGGGUGCGUAACGCGUGGGAAUCUGCCCUUGGGUUCGGAAUAACUUCUGGAAACGGAAGCUAAUACCGGAUGAUGACGUAAGUCCAAAGAUUUAUCGCCCAAGGAUGAGCCCGCGUAGGAUUAGGUAGUUGGUGAGGUAAAGGCUCACCAAGCCGACGAUCCUUAGCUGGUCUGAGAGGAUGAUCAGCCACACUGGGACUGAGACACGGCCCAGACUCCUACGGGAGGCAGCAGUAGGGAAUAUUGGACAAUGGGCGAAAGCCUGAUCCAGCAAUGCCGCGUGAGUGAUGAAGGCCUUAGGGUUGUAAAGCUCUUUUACCCGGGAUGAUAAUGACAGUACCGGGAGAAUAAGCGCCGGCUAACUCCGUG